AAAAAAAAAAAAAAACCCACAAUUCAUUGAGACCAGCAUCAAUUUAUUGACAACAACAGUCGCAAAGUGCAAGUUCAAGAAUUCAAUUAAAGAGUUACAGCAAUAAUCCAAGAUAAAAUUUGAUCUUAUUUAUCGAACAAAACAAAUUCCACAUGACUAGGAAUCUAGAAAUCAGGCACAAGCUCCUGGAGAUACUGAGAUGGGAGGCCAUAUAUUCAUAUCCCUCGGCCACCUGUAUGACCUAAAAUAAGGAUUAAUCUCCCCUUCUGCCCGACCAGUGGUAUCAAGCUGUGGAGCACUGACGAACACCACACCAACUGAAACUGCUGUCACAAGCUUCCUCAUCCCCCCUUCAGGCUUCAACCAUGGCAACAACGACCGUACAAAUAUAAAGGUGGCCAGUACAAAACAACCAUCCAGAUAAUGCACUAGAAGCGCUCAGCCUGUAGAUCUCCAUACCUCAAAUCUACAGCCCGUAGGCCCAUCUCAACUUCUUAACACAAAUGAAGAAUACAAGAUGAUAAA
RNAcentral lists this unclassified non-coding RNA (525 nucleotides) under Hevea brasiliensis (rubber tree). Lineage: Eukaryota; Viridiplantae; Streptophyta; Magnoliopsida; Malpighiales; Euphorbiaceae. The record is from RNAcentral.